GACGAACGCUGGCGGCGUGCCUAAUACAUGCAAGUCGAGCGGAAGUUGGAGAGCUUGCUCUUCAACUUUAGCGGCGGACGGGUGAGUAACACGUGGGCAACCUGCCCUGCAGAUCGGGAUAACUCCGGGAAACCGGUGCUAAUACCGAAUAGUUUUCGCCACCUCCUGGUGGCGUACGGAAAGACGGUUUCGGCUGUCACUGCAGGAUGGGCCCGCGGCGCAUUAGCUAGUUGGUGGGGUAACGGCCCACCAAGGCAACGAUGCGUAGCCGACCUGAGGGGGUGAGCGGCCACACUGGGCCUGAGGCACGGCCCAGCCUCCUACGGGAGGCAGCAGUAGGGAAUCUUCCGCAAUGGACGAAAGUCUGACGGAGCAACGCCGCGUGAGUGACGAAGGUUUUCGGAUCGUAAAACUCUGUUGUGAGGGAAGAACAAGUACCAACUAACUACUGGUACCUUGACGGUACCUCACCAGAAAGCCACGGCUAACUACGUGCCAGCCGCCGCAGUAA
RNAcentral lists this ribosomal RNA (511 nucleotides) under uncultured bacterium. RNAcentral's name for it is "partial 16S ribosomal RNA". It matches the Rfam family "Bacterial small subunit ribosomal RNA", at positions 28 to 523 of the family's 1533-position model. The record is from RNAcentral.